RNAcentral lists this long non-coding RNA (1428 nucleotides) under Ceratitis capitata (Mediterranean fruit fly). RNAcentral describes it as "uncharacterized LOC110118050, transcript variant X1". The record is from RNAcentral. Lineage: Eukaryota; Metazoa; Arthropoda; Insecta; Diptera; Tephritidae.
UGUGAAGGUUAUGAUUUUUAUUUGAAGCCAAAUUGCAACUAAGUGAAAUUGUAGAGUUAUUGACAAAGAACAAAUUUGUGCGUUAAUUAAAGUAAAGACAGCCACAAUAAGUACAGAAAUUACAUCGAAAUUGCGUCGAUUGAAAAAAUGUAUAUAAAAAUCAUUAAAAACUUGCCUGACAUUGUGAAAACGUAAUAAUUCGAAAGGUGGCGUAACAUUUGACUUUCAUUUAACCUUCGAAAUUAACAUUAAAGAGAGCGCCAACGCGUUAAACAUACCAUUGUUAGUAUUUUCGUUAUCGGAGAGUUUGCACGAAGCCAGGAGUUUACCUACUUUUAAUGGAAGCAGCGAAUAUUCACUCACUAAUUACUCGUAUUUGAGAGAUGUUAGCUUAGUAUUGCAGUUGACUGCAGCAGAACAUCAAAGUACAAUACAAGCAGACUGCAAGCUUCUUUUGUUGGGUUUUAUAUGACAUCGCGCAGUUUAUGAUAUCGGCUGUUCAAUACACCCCGAUUGGACACUACCGUCAAAAUUAUAAUCUGAGAGCAAAUGAACAAAAUGAGCAAAUUCAAGUAAGCUGAAGUAUUGUAUGUGUUAUAAGAUAAUUGUGCAGAAGUUAGUUACCUGAUAACCUUGAAUCGUUUCAACUUUAUGGUUCCAAUGGUCCGAAGUACAAACCGGAUUUUUGCAAGAAUACCAAAAAGCAUUUUCCACCAUUAGCCUCACUCAGCAUAUCCUUUCUGGCGAUUGAAGAUGAUCACAUAAACUAGUUUUGUAUAAGUGUUGUCAGCUCUUUUUGAUGAAUAUCAAAAAUAUUGGGAUUUGACGACCGAUAAUUUGAUCGCGUCCACUUCCUUGAAAACAACGCGACUAUUCCAUACACGCGCGAAAUAUAUACUCCACGCGGACAAUGGAAUAAUCUAAAACUUACCACAAUCCAUGCAAAAAUAUGGUCUAAUUAACAUUAUAAUGGUAUCCCGAGGUUGGACCGAAGAAUCCAUUGGGUACAUACAUAAGUGAAUUAAUCCAAAAAUUACUCCACCUUAUAGUGGGUUGCAUUACAUACACAUAUACGAAAAAUUACAUUUUCAGCUUCGAAUUCUAUUCGCAGUAGUUAGAGCAUUCAUCUAAUAUAUAUAUAUAGCAAGAUAAGAUUUAUCAAAUGAGUUUUAGUUAUUAUUUUUGAAAUAUAAUAGGCCAAGAUCUGGCCGUCAAAGGAAGCCAUCCCGACGUGGUGUUAGUUUUAUCAUCAAGGAGGCCACAAAAAAACGAUCCAACGAUAGCCGACAGCAUCGCUGCAACAUUAGGUAAUAAUUUACACCAAAAAUGUAGCAAAAACUUUACAGAGAAAUACCUAGCGAUGUAGGGUUCUAUGUAAAAAGCCUGUCAUAUCUGAGAUAAAUAAAAUAAAUAACUUCGUCUUGAAAA